Molecule: long non-coding RNA, 2464 nt
Filed under: Cavia porcellus (domestic guinea pig)
Lineage: Eukaryota; Metazoa; Chordata; Mammalia; Rodentia; Caviidae
Description: lncRNA (ENSCPOG00000035180.1)
Source: RNAcentral
UCAGGAUGGCCGAGCCUCCCUGCCCCGCCCCCCACGCUGGAGCUGCGCACAGACUCCGCCCUUCGCACCUCUAUUACGUCACAGUCCAGCUCCGACGGAACCUUUUAAAGGGGCCGCGCGCUCGGGGCGCUAUGGCUGUUUGGGUAGUUCUGCGGCUCUGACUGGGUCCCUGGGACUCCGGGAGACCCUCGGCCGGGCACAUCUGAUGUUGCGGCCCUGUUCUCCUGUCGCAGUCAGGGUCUUCGAGGGAAUGGGGCCGGUGGAGCAAAGAAGAGGUCGGGGUCUCGGUCCCACGAGCAUCUAGGACCUACAUAAUGAAGUCAGGGCCACAUUUGGCCUAGGAUGGACCCAGGAUAGAACCAGAAUAGACUCAGACUCAGCCUACCACGACCCGGCCCCAGCCUACUGUGGACACAUCCCAAGCAUGAUGGACCCAGGCUCAGAACAAAUUGGAUCCAGGAUCCAUCCAGGACCAUUUGUGGGGACUUCUCCCCCACCUCUUCCUUCUGGACCAUCAUGUAGCAUCAACAUGAACUUCAAGCUUCCAACAGCGACCUGGACUCUGAAAAGUAUCUCAGAUCUCCGCAUCCAUUUUUUCACUCCCAAUUUGAGAUUCCUCGGUUUUUUCCCUAAGCUUCUGGGCCCAAGAGAUGACACUAAGCCCAUCCCCUUAACCUAGACUGUGGAAGGCAUCAGUUAAAAACAAGGAGGGCCACCACAGAACAGGAGAAAAUGAGCAUAACAGACACAUGACUGCCCUGGGGGAGGCAGGGGUCAUGGACCUCAGAGGGGGACAAAUGUACCAGAAUGAUUAUAGAGACAUGGUAAAGAUCAGUGCCAGAUCAAGUGCCAUGAAAAUGGCACUGGGUGAUGGGAUUUCCAAUAGAUUCCUCGGUUCUUGUGCACAAUGAAAAAAGAAUGGAUUAUAGCAUGUGACAGUAAAGAAAAAGUAGCAAAGUUUUAAUCAGGUGACAGUACACUCUGAGUGAGUGGGCUAAUGCCAAUGGAAAGGAAAAUGGCACAAGUGCUAAAAGAAUUAGAUUUAAAAAUUUGAUAUAUUGUGCCAGGUCUAGGGCAUCUCCCAUUUGGUUUUCCAGAGAUUGAUUGACACAUGGUUGACAAGGUGCUGAGUCCUGUCAGCUGUAUCUAUUGCACAUGUCCUGGUCCAUAAUUUACUCUGUCAUAAUUGGAUGUAUGAGAUGCAAUUCAUAUGUAUGAACCUUCAGUGAGCUCUAAGUGAAGGAAAGUUAUUGCAAAUCAUAAUAGCCGGUCUGGCAUGCACUCGUCUUGAUUUGGGAUUUCAGAACUUUCCAGGGAAGGUUGAGUGGUCUUUGUUUGCCUUAUCUCUGCCUCCUGGUAGUGAGACUGCCAACAAAGUUUGAGAGGUUGGCCCUGGAGCAUCACCCAGGUUCAUGUGAGUGGAAGGGAAUUCCCCACAAGCAGUAGUACAACAUCACUUAGUUUGGGGUCAGUUGACCUUUCUGGAGAAAUAGCAUUUGAAGAGUGACCCUGGUAGAGAGAAGUGACUCUGCUAUCCAAAGGAAUACAUUUGCUUAGCUUCUUUCUUGAAACUAGUUAGACAGUUGGACACCAGUAGGCCUGAAGGACAAGGGGGAGGACACAGGGGAGGUCAAAAUAGCAUGUUAAGUUUAAAAUAAAAAGACUUCUAUGUAUAAUACAUUUGUGGUCUCAGACCUAAAAUGAUCCUAUAGAAUACAAUGAUGUUUCAAGAUUAUGUAAUAUCUGGCCACCUAUCCAUCUUUUUCCAAAACAAAGCAUACAGCGUUCCUGAAUAUCAUCUCCAGUAAUAUCAGAAAGGGGAAAUUUUUUAAGGACCCUCUCCUUAGGCUAAGAUUCUUAGAUGAUCAUCUAAAAGGAACAAGGAAAACAUUUUUGAGAUAUCUACAUUCCAAAAUAAUCCUAAGAGAAAUGUGGAUAAACAUAAUUCCCUAAGCCCCAGGAGUAAUAUUUGUGUGCAUGAACAUAUACUCAAACUCACACUUGGUGUGUGUGCCAUUGUGACACUGCCUGCCUCCUUGUGUGAGGUGACACUACCUGCCUCCUCUCUAUAUCUUCUUUACAAUAAACCCUAUCUAUAGUUCUGCAAGGCUGCCUGUGUGUCUUGACCAAAUUUUCUCAACAAGAGCCUUUGGAACUGAGGAGCAAGAAUGAUGAAUCAAUUCUUUGCCACGUCAGGAUCUGGCUUCCCAGUGACAACUGCUAUCCUAGUCAAGCUGCCAUGUUAACCUAAAAACAAGUCUGGCUCAGGAAUUUAUUAAACAGUUGUUACAUGCCAGGCACAGGGCAGGUGGGCAUAGGGUGAGUGAUACUUCAGUUAUUCAGCUUGGUUCAGUUCGUGUGUAUGUGUGUGUGUAUGUAUGCAUGUGCAUGUGCAUGUGUGUGUGCGUGUGCUUGUGUGUGACUAUGUAUCUCCAUAACCAGCUGUGUUGUGUGAAGACUAAAC